GAAAAGAAGCAUAUAGAGUAAGAGAAGUUACCAGUUGUAGCAUCUUUGAAUUGCUCUUUGCUAUUCUCCGGGAACUUAUGAUGAUGAAUCCAGCCCCAAAACUGCCAGAAAAUUAAGCAUUGGUUGAUGACAGUGGAAGACCAACACGAAGAAAGCUACAAAACUUUGGUUGGCCAUUCUCUUUCAAGUUCACAUCAAGAACAAGUUGGAGGGCCAUUACAGACAUAAACCUACUGUUGUGGUUACAUGACACGUACAUUUAUUGGCGUAGCUAUCCGUAGUUACAAUCAUCAAUCAUUUCAGGUAUUGCUAUUUGAUCUUUGAUUUUAGUUUCUAAAUAUCAUAAAACUUUAUGGAUUUUAUGUGGCGUUCCUGGUAUCACAAUUUGAGCUUCAUUUGAGUUUCUGUAUCAUAAAACGUUGUAGAUUUUAUCCGGCGUUCAUGAGCCACUGAUAGUAAAUUAACUAGUCAUUUUACAUUCGAUAUACAUAAAUAGUGGAUGCAAAAUGAAUAUUGCCAUUGCAUUGUGUUGUGUAGGCAAGACAUUUUUUUCCUGCGACUUUUGAUAAUCCAACAAUCUCAUUUACGCUAGAAGGGAACAUGUAUUCUGUCUGCGGUAGUUAUAGAAGAACUGUAAACUCUGUUUUUACAUUGGUGCUGCUUUCCAUAGAUAGAUUAAUUGAUUUUUAUCUGAAAGAAUAAUUAAUGCUGGCUCCUUGGUCAUUUAUAGAGUGAUUGACAAUGCAUUAUGUUCAAAUAAUUUCCAAUGAAAAGAGUACUGUUUCGUUUUGCCUUUGUUGACUUGGCUGUCUCUGACAAGAAGAAAAGGCAGAUGGAUGAUGACCAGAAAAGUAAAGAGAGUGCUUUCUCCAGGAAGCAUAUGGAAAGCUCCGUGACAAAACAAUAACGACUGCUUUCGUACUAGUUGAUUCAGACAAGUGAAGCUGUCAACGACAUCAGAUGAUGAGGAUCAAAAUGGGAUGGGCCAGAAUGAGUUUUGAAUGUUAAUCAAUGGACUGGCUGAUUCAAAAUGGUGAGGUAGCAAUUAAGUCUUCUAAUGUGUUUAUUUUAUUGUCUCAAGUCAAGUUUCUGGCUGAUUCUUUGGGUGUGUGUAGGCCAUUUUGGUGAGGCGUCGCAACUGCUGUGCGGACGAUAACAUUCAGAACACACAGGUGCAGAUGUAAUGUUGCUGAGACGCAUGGCUGAUGUGAAACAAGUUGAGAUUGGUACCAGACAAAUGAAAUGGAUAAAGGAGGUAUCACCAUCUCUUGUUCUCACCAUUUCUUCUGACCUGUCGACGUCUUUAUGUUCAUCAUCUGGUCCUGAUUCUAUCUUUCCGUUUAUUCAUGCACUUGAGCUAGCCCACAACUACACCAUAGAUUCCCCAAAUUGUAUUUCCCUUUAUUCUGUGUAGAUCCUAUUCCCCUAUGAUGUAAUCGAGUUCUAUGGGUGGGAUGUAUACGUUACAACUCGUUUAUUGUCUACGUACGAAUUAUUCUAAUGAAUAGAAUAUAUUUUUUCAUAAUGA
Long non-coding RNA from Brassica rapa (field mustard), 1528 nucleotides. RefSeq lists it as uncharacterized. NCBI's taxonomy places the organism in Eukaryota, Viridiplantae, Streptophyta, Magnoliopsida, Brassicales, Brassicaceae. The record is from RefSeq and is a predicted model, not a curated record.